RNAcentral lists this ribosomal RNA (465 nucleotides) under Vreelandella stevensii. Its description in RNAcentral is "partial 16S ribosomal RNA". It matches the Rfam family "Bacterial small subunit ribosomal RNA", at positions 338 to 795 of the family's 1533-position model. Lineage: Bacteria; Pseudomonadati; Pseudomonadota; Gammaproteobacteria; Oceanospirillales; Halomonadaceae. The record is from RNAcentral.
CCUACGGGGGGCUGCAGUGGGGAAUAUUGGACAAUGGGGGCAACCCUGAUCCAGCCAUGCCGCGUGUGUGAAGAAGGCCCUCGGGUUGUAAAGCACUUUCAGUGAGGAAGAACGCCUGGUGGUUAAUACCCAUCAGGAAAGACAUCACCCACAGAAGAAGCACCGGCUAACUCCGUGCCAGCAGCCGCGGUAAUACGGAGGGUGCGAGCGUUAAUCGGAAUUACUGGGCGUAAAGCGCGCGUAGGUGGCUUGAUAAGCCGGUUGUGAAAGCCCCGGGCUCAACCUGGGAACGGCAUCCGGAACUGUCAAGCUAGAGUGCAGGAGAGGAAGGUAGAAUUCCCGGUGUAGCGGUGAAAUGCGUAGAGAUCGGGAGGAAUACCAGUGGCGAAGGCGGCCUUCUGGACUGACACUGACACUGAGGUGCGAAAGCGUGGGUAGCAAACAGGAUUAGAUACCCCAGUAGUC